RNAcentral lists this ribosomal RNA (509 nucleotides) under uncultured bacterium. RNAcentral's name for it is "bacterial SSU rRNA". It matches the Rfam family "Bacterial small subunit ribosomal RNA", at positions 29 to 535 of the family's 1533-position model. The record is from RNAcentral.
AAUAAACGCUGGCGGCGUGCCUAACACAUGCAAGUCGAGCGAGAAAGCUCCUUCGGGAGUUAGUAAAGCGGCGAACGGGUGAGCAACACGUGAGAAUCUACCCUUUAGUGAAGAAUACCCUCGAGAAAUCGAGGCUAAUACUGCAUACGUCCCUUCGGGGAGAAAGAUGGCCUCUUUGCUAUCGCUAAAGGAUGAGCUUGCGUACUAUUAGCUAGUUGGCGGGGUAAAGGCCCACCAAGGCAAUGAUGGUUAACCGGCCUGAGAGGGUGUACGGUCACACUGGAACUUAGACACGGUCCAGACUCCUACGGGAGGCAGUAGUGAGGAAUCUUGCGCAAUGGGCGAAAGCCUGACGCAGCGACGCCGCGUGGAGGAUGACGGUUUUCGGAUUGUAAACUCCUGUUAAGCGGGAAGAAAGCCUUGUUUCUAAUACAAGACAAGGUAUGACGGUACCGCUAGAGAAAGCACCGGCUAACUUCGUGCCAGCAGCCGCGGUAAGGAGCUGUCGU